Molecule: long non-coding RNA, 240 nt
Filed under: Elaeis guineensis (African oil palm)
Lineage: Eukaryota; Viridiplantae; Streptophyta; Magnoliopsida; Arecales; Arecaceae
Description: long non-coding RNA (EGUI_LNC011677)
Source: RNAcentral
GGUACUUUUUGAGUACCGUCUCGUGAUUUAAAAGGUUUCUUUUUGAUCGUAAAAGAAAGAUAAUUAAUCUAUUGUAAUAAUAUAGAUCGGAUAAGUCUAAUAGAAUACUAUUUUUUUUUAAGUGUUAAAGAGAGAAAUUAUCACUUAACCUCUUUUGGAGAGAGAAUUAUCAUGGGAGAUAAUGGUAGGUAUAGAAGGCAUGAAUUUGAAGAUAAGACAGAAAAAAAAAAAAGGGAAAGA